This 757-nucleotide long non-coding RNA is filed under the name Salmo salar (Atlantic salmon). RNAcentral describes it as "lncRNA (ENSSSAG00000091984.1)". The record is from RNAcentral. Lineage: Eukaryota; Metazoa; Chordata; Actinopteri; Salmoniformes; Salmonidae.
AUGAAGAUUCAUCUGCAAUAGGAUUUAUUACUACAGGAUUCUCCAUCAUCUAAAGCAAUAGAGGUUUUCUGGGGAGGUGUGGCGUCAUUAUUCCCAAAUAUGAAUGCUUUGUAUAGAAUGGCAUGCGAAGAGUUUCACUAGCACAGACUGGAAUAUGUUCCAUGAUUCAUCCGAUAACAUUGAGGAGUUUACCUUCAAUCACAGUGACCGUACAUAUCCCAAACAGAAGCCAUGGAUUACAGGCAAUAUCCACACGGAACUGAAGGCUAGAGCUGCAGCUUUCAAGUCUAAUCUGAACACUUAUAAUAAAUCCCGCUACAACCUCCGACGAGCCAUCAAACAGGCAAAGAGUCGAUACAGGACAAAGAUCGAAUCCUAUGCUGGCUCUGAAGCUCGUCGGAUGUGGCAGGGCUUGCAAACUAUCCCAAAUUACAAAUGGUAACCCAGCCGCAAGUUGCCCAGUGACGCGAGCCUACCAGACAAGCCAAAUGCCUUUUAUAUUCGCUUCGAGGCAAGCAACACUGAACCAUACAAGAGAGCACCAGCUGUUCCAGACAACUGUGUGAUCUCGUUCUCCGUAGCCUAUGUGAGUAUGACCUUUAAACAGGUUAAUAUUCACAAGGCCUUGGGGACAGAUUGAUUACCAGGAUGUGUACUCAGAGCAUGCUGACCCUCAACACGAGGGCCCCUCCUGUACUCCCUGUUCACCAAUGACUGUGUGGCCACGCACAACACCAUCAUAACAUUUGCUAACGAC